RNAcentral lists this ribosomal RNA (375 nucleotides) under uncultured bacterium. RNAcentral describes it as "bacterial SSU rRNA". It matches the Rfam family "Bacterial small subunit ribosomal RNA", at positions 30 to 387 of the family's 1533-position model. The record is from RNAcentral.
AGUGAACGCUGGCGGCAGGCCUAACACAUGCAAGUCGAGCGGCAGCGGGUUCCCGCGAGGGGAUGCCGGCGAGCGGCGGACGGGUGAGGAACACAUCGGAAUCUGCCUGGUUGUGGGGGAUAACGUAGGGAAACUUACGCUAAUACCGCAUGCGACCCUGAGUCGACGGACUGGGGGUGAAAGUGAGGGACCUUCGGGCCUCACGCGACCAGAUGAGCCGAUGUCGGAUUAGCUAGUUGGCGGGGUAACGGCCCGCCAAGGCGACGAUCCGUAGCUGGUCUGAGAGGAUGAUCAGCCACACUGGGACUGAGACACGGCCCAGACUCCUACGGGAGGCAGCAGUGGGGAAUCUUGGACAAUGGGCGCAAGCCUGAU